AACGAACGCUGGCGGCAUGCCUAACACAUGCAAGUCGAACGAGACCUCCGGGCCUUUGGGCGCACGGCUGCGUAACACGUGGGAAUCUGCCCUUGGGUACGGAAUAACUGUCAGAAAUGACUGCUCAUACCGCAGGGUGUCGAAAGACCAAAGAUUUAUCGGCACAGGAUGAGCCCGCGUAGGAUUAGGUAGUUGGUGGGGGAAUGGCCUAGCAAGCGGAGGAUCCUUAGCUGGUCUGAGAGGAUGAUCAGCCACACUGGGACUCAGACACGGCCCAGCAUCCUACGGAAGGGAGGAGUGGAGAAUAUUGGACAAUGGGGGAAGGCCUGAUCCAGCAGUGCGGCGUAAGUGAUGAAGGCCGUAGGGUAGUAAAGCUCUUUUACCAGGGAUGUUAAUGACGGUACCUGGUGAAUAAGCACCGGCUAACUACGUG
Molecule: ribosomal RNA, 433 nt
Filed under: uncultured bacterium
Lineage: Bacteria
Description: partial 16S ribosomal RNA
Rfam family: Bacterial small subunit ribosomal RNA
Source: RNAcentral